GUGGUUGUGGCUCAGUGGUAGAGUGCUUGCUUAGCAUGUGUGAGGCACUGGGUUCAAUUUUCAGCACUACA
Molecule: transfer RNA, 71 nt
Filed under: Marmota monax (woodchuck)
Lineage: Eukaryota; Metazoa; Chordata; Mammalia; Rodentia; Sciuridae
Source: Rfam by way of RNAcentral